This 552-nucleotide ribosomal RNA is filed under the name uncultured bacterium. RNAcentral's name for it is "bacterial SSU rRNA". It matches the Rfam family "Bacterial small subunit ribosomal RNA", at positions 355 to 897 of the family's 1533-position model. The record is from RNAcentral.
UGGGGAAUUUUCCGCAAUGGGCGAAAGCCUGACGGAGUGACGCCGCGUGGGGGACGAAGGCCUUCGGGUCGUAAACCCCUGUCAGAGGGAAAGAAGGGUCGCCGACCUAACACGUCGGUGAUCUGACGGUACCUUCAGAGGAAGCCCCGGCCAACUCUGUGCCAGCAGCCGCGGUAAGACAGAGGGGGCAAGCGUUGCUCGGAAUCACUGGGCGUAAAGGGCGCGUAGGCGGGAUGGCAAGUCAGUCGUGAAAUCUCUCGGCUCAACCGAGAAACGUCGGCUGAUACUGCCGUUCUUGAGGGAUGCAGAGGAGACUGGAAUUCCCGGUGUAGCGGUGAAAUGUGUAGAGAUCGGGAGGAACACCGGUGGCGAAGGCGGGUCUCUGGGCAUUUCCUGACGCUGAGGCGCGAAAGCGUGGGGAGCAAACGGGAUUAGAUACCCCGGUAGUCCACGCUGUAAACGAUGACGACUAGGUGUGGGGUGGGUUAGUCCAUUCCGUGCCGCAGCUAACGCAUUAAGUCGUCCGCCUGGGGAGUACGGCCGCAAGGUUGA